This 465-nucleotide ribosomal RNA is filed under the name Vreelandella stevensii. RNAcentral describes it as "partial 16S ribosomal RNA". It matches the Rfam family "Bacterial small subunit ribosomal RNA", at positions 338 to 795 of the family's 1533-position model. Lineage: Bacteria; Pseudomonadati; Pseudomonadota; Gammaproteobacteria; Oceanospirillales; Halomonadaceae. The record is from RNAcentral.
CCUACGGGUGGCAGCAGUGGGGAAUAUUGGACAAUGGGCGAAAGCCUGAUCCAGCCAUGUCGCGUGUGUGAAGAAGGCCUUCGGGUUGUAAAGCACUUUCAGUGGGGAAGAAAGCCUUGGGGCUAAUACCCUCGAGGAAGGACAUCACCCACAGAAGAAGCACCGGCUAACUCCGUGCCAGCAGCCGCGGUAAUACGGAGGGUGCGAGCGUUAAUCGGAAUUACUGGGCGUAAAGCGCGCGUAGGCGGUCUGAUAAGCCGGUUGUGAAAGCCCCGGGCUCAACCUGGGAACGGCAUCCGGAACUGUCAGGCUAGAGUGCAGGAGAGGAAGGUAGAAUUCCCGGUGUAGCGGUGAAAUGCGUAGAGAUCGGGAGGAAUACCAGUGGCGAAGGCGGCCUUCUGGACUGACACUGACGCUGAGGUGCGAAAGCGUGGGUAGCAAACAGGAUUAGAUACCCUUGUAGUC